Lolium rigidum is the source of this 526-nucleotide long non-coding RNA. RefSeq lists it as uncharacterized. Lineage: Eukaryota; Viridiplantae; Streptophyta; Magnoliopsida; Poales; Poaceae. The record is from RefSeq and is a predicted model, not a curated record. The transcript is spliced from 3 exons.
UGAAGAGAAAGUAAUUGUAGAUCACAUGGCUAAAAGGUCCCGGCGUCGGUUCAGAAAACGUACUGGGGUAUAAUGAUCUAAUGAUCUCAAUCUCUGGGUGUUUCAGCUGGUCGAAGGUGGAUGGACUAUGCUAGCCGAGACCUGAGAGCAUCUGUACUGUAAACGGUGGAGGCCAUAAAAAACAGAAAACAGUUUUGCUAUAGGAAAGUUAUACAAUUUUACAUUACAAUUAACAGAAAUUGAAGAUUCAACUAAAGCAUCUGGAUCUGGAGCUUACCAUGUUGUGUGCAGACGGCAACGCAGGAAGUCUUUGUGGUGUAGUUUGUAACACCUUCCGCUGCUGUUCCCUUAACUGUAAUUAAGGAAAAGCCAUGGACGGGCAGCUUUGUACUGAAAGUAACUUUGAAGUUAUAGUUGGAUGUGGUACAGUCGGGUUUCCCUGUUGUAUACUUAAUCGUUCUGUAGCAACAAGUUAUCCUUGUCUUCCAGUUUCAAACUUUGGAGUUUUAGUCAACUUUUUUGCCAA